This 894-nucleotide long non-coding RNA is filed under the name Homo sapiens (human). RNAcentral's name for it is "HSALNT0376275". The stretch from base 554 to 619 matches the Rfam family "tRNA". The record is from RNAcentral. Lineage: Eukaryota; Metazoa; Chordata; Mammalia; Primates; Hominidae.
GUUUGGUAUUGGGUUAUGGCAGGGGGUUUUAUAUUAAUGAUUGUUGUAAUGAAGUUAAUGGCUCCUAGGAUAGAGGAGAUGCCUGCUAGAUGCAAGGAGAAGAUGGUUAGAUCUACGGAAGCUCCAGGGUGGGAGUAGUUCCCUGCUAAGGGAGGGUAGACUGUCCAACCUGUUCCGGCGCCGGCUUCCACUAUGGCAGAUGCAAGCAGAAGUAGGAGAGAAGGGGGUAGGAGUCAGAAGCUUAUGUUGUUUAUGCGGGGGAAUGCCAUAUCGGGGGCACCGAUUUUUAGGGGAACUAGUCAGUUGCCAAAGCCUCCGAUUAUGAUAGGUAUCACUAUGAAGAAGAUUAUUACAAAUGCAUGGGCUGUGACGAUGACAUUGUAGAUGUGGUCGUUACCUAGAAGGUUGCCUGGUUGGCCUAGCUCAGCCCAAAUAAGGAGACUUAGAGCUGUGCCCAGGACUCCAGCUCAUGCGCCGAAUAGUAGGUACAGUGUUCCAAUGUCUUUGUGGUUUGUAGAGAACAAUCAACGGUCGGCGAACAUCAGUGGGAUAAGGUAAAAUGGCUGAGUGAAGCAUUGGACUGUAAAUCUAAAGACAGGGGCUAAGCCUCUUUUUACCAGCUCUGAGGUGAUUUUCAUAUUGAAUUGCAAAUUCGAAGAAGCAGCUUCAAACCUGGCGGGGCUUCUCCCGCCUUUUUUUCCUGCGGCGGGAGAAGUAGAUUGAAGCGUUGAUUAGGGUGUUUAGCUGUUAACUAAGUGUUUAUGGGUUUAAGUCCAAUUGAUCUAGUAAGGGCUUAGCUUAAUUAAAGUGGCUGAUUUGCGUUCAGUUGAUGCAGAGUGGGGUUUUGCAGUCCUUAGCUGCAAAUGAGUCCUUAGCAAGGGACUCAUUCUUUUU